GCAAACUUGGUCAUUUAGAGGAAGUAAAAGUCGUAACAAGGUCUCCGUAGGUGAACCUGCGGAGGGAUCAUUACCAGAGAUGGCGGGCUGCGGCCCCCGUCCCCAACCCUUUGCCGAUCAAAACCCUUUUGCCUCGGGGGCAGAGCGUCCGCCGCCGCCCCCGGAGGACCACCGAACGCUGUCUCUGUACGUCAGAGUUAUUGAUCAAAUGAAUUGAAAACUUUCAACAACGGAUCUCUUGGUUCUGGCAUCGAUGAAGAACGCAGC
RNAcentral lists this unclassified non-coding RNA (267 nucleotides) under uncultured fungus. Its description in RNAcentral is "partial contains small subunit ribosomal RNA, internal transcribed spacer 1, and 5.8S ribosomal RNA". The stretch from base 1 to 73 matches the Rfam family "Eukaryotic small subunit ribosomal RNA", at positions 1759 to 1831 of the family's 1831-position model. Lineage: Eukaryota; Fungi. The record is from RNAcentral.